GCUGGCGGCGUGCCUAAUACAUGCAAGUCGAGCGAGCGGACGAGAAGCUUGCUUCUCUGAUGUUAGCGGCGGACGGGUGAGUAACACGUGGAUAACCUACCUAUAAGACUGGGAUAACUUCGGGAAACCGGAGCUAAUACCGGAUAAUAUUUUGAACCGCAUGGUUCAAAAGUGAAAGACGGUCUUGCUGUCACUUAUAGAUGGAUCCGCGCUGCAUUAGCUAGUUGGUAAGGUAACGGCUUACCAAGGCAACGAUGCAUAGCCGACCUGAGAGGGUGAUCGGCCACACUGGAACUGAGACACGGUCCAGACUCCUACGGGAGGCAGCAGUAGGGAAUCUUCCGCAAUGGGCGAAAGCCUGACGGAGCAACGCCGCGUGAGUGAUGAAGGUCUUCGGAUCGUAAAACUCUGUUAUUAGGGAAGAACAUAUGUGUAAGUAACUGUGCACAUCUUGACGGUACCUAAUCAGAAAGCCACGGCUAACUACGUGCCAGCAGCCGCGGUAAUACGUAGGUGGCAAGCGUUAUCCGGAAUUAUUGGGCGUAAAGCGCGCGUAGGCGGUUUUUUAAGUCUGAUGUGAAAGCCCACGGCUCAACCGUGGAGGGUCAUUGGAAACUGGAAAACUUGAGUGCAGAAGAGGAAAGUGGAAUUCCAUGUGUAGCGGUGAAAUGCGCAGAGAUAUGGAGGAACACCAGUGGCGAAGGCGACUUUCUGGUCUGUAACUGACGCUGAUGUGCGAAAGCG
RNAcentral lists this ribosomal RNA (744 nucleotides) under uncultured bacterium. Its description in RNAcentral is "bacterial SSU rRNA". It matches the Rfam family "Bacterial small subunit ribosomal RNA", at positions 35 to 761 of the family's 1533-position model. The record is from RNAcentral.